UGGGGAAUUUUGGACAAUGGGCGCAAGCCUGAUCCAGCCAUGCCGCGUGCGGGAAGAAGGCCUUCGGGUUGUAAACCGCUUUUGUCAGGGAAGAAAUUUUCUGAGUUAAUACCUCGGGAGGAUGACGGUACCUGAAGAAUAAGCACCGGCUAACUACGUGCCAGCAGCCGCGGUAAUACGUAGGGUGCAAGCGUUAAUCGGAAUUACUGGGCGUAAAGCGUGCGCAGGCGGUUUUGUAAGACAGAGGUGAAAUCCCCGGGCUCAACCUGGGAACUGCCUUUGUGACUGCAAGGCUUGAGUGCGGCAGAGGGGGAUGGAAUUCCGCGUGUAGCAGUGAAAUGCGUAGAUAUGCGGAGGAACACCGAUGGCGAAGGCAAUCCCCUGGGCCUGCACUGACGCUCAUGCACGAAAGCGUGGGGAGCAAACAGGAUUAGAUACCCUGGUAGUCCACGCCCUAAACGAUGUCAACUGGUUGUUGGGAAGGUUCCUUCUCAGUAACGUAGCUAACGCGUGAAGUUGACCGCCUGGGGAGUACGGCCGCAAGGUUGAAACUUAAAGGAAUUGACGGGGUCAUAGCUGUUUCCU
This 585-nucleotide ribosomal RNA is filed under the name uncultured bacterium. RNAcentral describes it as "partial 16S ribosomal RNA". It matches the Rfam family "Bacterial small subunit ribosomal RNA", at positions 355 to 1375 of the family's 1533-position model. The record is from RNAcentral.